This is a non-coding RNA of Capsicum annuum, 1807 nucleotides long. NCBI's taxonomy places the organism in Eukaryota, Viridiplantae, Streptophyta, Magnoliopsida, Solanales, Solanaceae. The record is from Rfam.
UACCUGGUUGAUCCUGCCAGUAGUCGUAUGCUUGUCUCAAAGGUUAAGCCACGCAUGUGUAAGUAUGAAUAAAUUCAGACUGUGAAACUGCGAAUGCCUUAUUAAAUCAAUUAUAGUUUGUUUGAUGGUAUCUACUACUCAGAUAACCAUAGUAAUUCUAGAGCUAAUACGUGCAACAAACCUAGAAUUCUGGAAGAGAUGCGUUUAUUAGAUAAAAGGUCGACGCGAGCUUUGCCCGUUGCUGUGAUGAUUCUUGAUAACUUGAUGGAUCAUACGACCCUCAUGCCAGCGAUGCAUCAUUUAAAUUUCUGUCCUAUCAAUUUUUCGAUGGUAGGAUAGUGGCCUACCAUGAUGGUAAUGGGUGAAGGAGAAUUAGGGUUCAAUUUCAGAGAGGGAGCCUGAGAAACGGCCACCAUAUCAAAAGAAGGCAGCAGACGUCCAAAUUACCCAAUCCUGACACGGGGAUAUAGUGACAAUAAAUAAUAAUACCAGGCUCAAUGAGUCUAGUAAUUGGAAUAAGUACAAUAUAAAUCCCUUAACUAGGAUCCAAUGGAGGGAGAGUCUGGUUCCAGCAGUCGCGGUAAUUCCAGCACCAAUAGCAUAUAUUUAAGUUGUUGCAAUUAAAAAGCUCAAAGUCAGACUUUGGGAUUGGCCGGACGGUCCGCCUAUGGUGUGCGUUGCUCAUCUCGUCCCUUCUGUCAGCAGUGCGCUCCAGGCCUUAACUGGCUGGGUCGUACCUCCGGUACUAUUACUUUGAAGAAAUUAGAGUGCUUAAAGCAAGCCUACGCUGUGUAUACAUUAGCAUGGGAUAAUAUUAUAGGAUUUUGAUCCUAUUAUGUUGGCCUUCGGGAUCGGAGUAAUGAUUAACAGGGACAGUCGGGAGCAUUCGUAUUUUAUAGUCAGAGGUGAAAUUAUUGGAUUCAUGAAAUACGAACAACUGCGAAAGCAUUUUCCAAGGAUGUUUUCAUUAAUAAAGAAUAAAAGUUGGGGGAUCGAAGGCGAUCAGAUACCGUCCUAGUCUCAUUCAUAAACGAUGCCGACCAGGGAUCGACGGAUGUUGCUUUUAGGACCCCGCUGGCACCUUAUGAAAAAUCAAAGUUUUUGGGUUCCGAGGGGAGUAUAGUCGCAAGGCUGAAAAUUAAAAGAACUGAUGGAAGGGAACCACCAGGAGUGGAGCCUGUUGCUUAAUUUGACUCAACACGGGAAACUUACUAGGUCCAGACAUAGUAAGGAUUGACAGACUGAGAGCGCUUUCUUGAUUCUAUGGGUAGUGGUGCAUGGCCAUUCUUAGUUUGUGGAGCGAUUUGUCUGGUUAAUUUCGUUAACGACCAAGACCUCAGCCUGCUAACUAGCUAUGCAGAGGUAUCCCUUGGCGUCUAGCUUCUUAGAGGGACUAUGCCUUUUAGGCCGCAGAAGAUUGAGGCAAUAACAGGUCUAUGAUGCCCUUAGAUGUUCUGGGCCGCACACGCGCUACAUUAAUGUAUUCAACGAGUUUAUAGCCUUGGCUGACAGGCUCGGGUAAACUUUGAAAUUUUAUCAUGAUGGGGAUAGAUCAUUGCAAUUGUUGGUCUUCAACGAGGAAUUCCUAGUAAGCGCAAGUCAUCAGCUCGCGUUGACUACCUCCCUGCCCUUUGUACACACCGACCGUCACUCCUACCGAUUGAAUGAUCCGAUGAAAUUUUUGGAUCGCGGCGACGUUGGCAGUUCGCUGCCCGAGACUUUUUGAGAAGUCCAUUUAACCUUAUAAUUUAGAGGAAGGAUAAUUUGUAACAAGGUUUCCGUAGGUAAAUCUGCGAAAGAAUCAUUG